This 744-nucleotide long non-coding RNA is filed under the name Anas platyrhynchos platyrhynchos (common mallard). Its description in RNAcentral is "lncRNA (ENSAPLG00000026942.1)". The record is from RNAcentral. Lineage: Eukaryota; Metazoa; Chordata; Aves; Anseriformes; Anatidae.
CUGACUUCUCAGAAUAUGCCUUCUCACAUUUUAGAAGAUUCAGGACUGGGACCCUCUCCUGUUUCCCCACUGAGUGGGUAAUCCAGGUUCACAAUACAUCCGGUGCUUCACAGACAAUACACGGCUUUCAGUUGCUGGACUGUUAUAAGAACAGUGACUCAAACCCUGCAGCAAUUUGUUUCCUGGCUUUCUGUUCAUCGAGAACUCCUCUAGGCACCCUGAUAGAAUCUAUGUAUACUCUAUCAUUGAAUGAUAUUCCUAAGCCUUUUUUACUUCUUCUGGGUAUUUGUGAUGUUUCUCUUUCAAAUGCCAGGGUGAAGGGUAUAGCUAAUUGAACAAGUGCCUCCCCAAUUAGAUGGUAGGGUGGACUGUAAGAUCUUCCCUCCACAGUACCACCAGAGAUCUGCUCUGGAGAUCUCAAGUCUUGAGCAGUUUCCUAUCAAGUCCUUGGUAGCACAAGGCAAAUACUCCCAGAUUCUGGGUAGCACUCACACCCUGCUGUGAGAUGCAAGCUAGGUUACCUAUAGCUGUAGGUUACCUGUAGCUGUAGAGAAUGCAGGGGGAACCAUGAUAUUGCUGUUACACAAGGAAGGGAACAGCAAAGAGAGACACUUACAAGCCUCAUUUUCCCAGGCAGUCUUUUCUUGGAACAAUGCAAUACAACAUUUCUAUUCCCACACCUUGGUAUUUCGCUUUCUUAGAAACUUUCAAUGAUUUUUAAGCUGUCAGUUAUGGUUUGUUACU